RNAcentral lists this non-coding RNA (24 nucleotides) under Callithrix jacchus (white-tufted-ear marmoset). RNAcentral also lists the same sequence under 1 other name. Lineage: Eukaryota; Metazoa; Chordata; Mammalia; Primates; Cebidae. The record is from RNAcentral.
UGGUAGAGCGGAGGACUGUAGUGG